Molecule: long non-coding RNA, 492 nt
Filed under: Olea europaea (common olive)
Lineage: Eukaryota; Viridiplantae; Streptophyta; Magnoliopsida; Lamiales; Oleaceae
Description: long non-coding RNA (OEUR_LNC015183)
Source: RNAcentral
AAGAGCCAAACAGCGUCUGACCGCACUGUAUUCUCUUGGAAUGGCUCCAAGAGUUUCCGGGAUUCUAAAUCACCAGGUCUUGGUUUUUCGUUGUUUUUGUAUGCCUGGAAGACUGAAUAGAAUUAUGUUUGUUUCUUGAUCCCUAACGAUACUUUUGAGUCAGAUAUUAUUUUUUUAAGGAUUUGAUUGAGUUAGUUCUAACAAUUGUGUUUUUUUCGUAUUUGAACCGCAUCUUGGACUUGGAUAUUGUUAAUGAAAUUGAGAAAACUCCAAUUGAUUUCUCUGCAUUGUUCAACUGGGAAUGUAUCUUGUGUUGGAAAAGUGGUGCUGAUUUGGUAUAAUUUUGAGUGUGUCCCGCUUAUUUUUUAUGGAAGAUCAAAGUUGAUUUGUGUUUUCCUCCUCAAGAGCAUCGUAAUCAUAAAUUUACUGCUCAAUUAGGUGUAGGAGGAAAAACUAUAUAAACUUGUCCUAUUUAGGAGAAAUAGUAAGGCA